RNAcentral lists this ribosomal RNA (433 nucleotides) under uncultured bacterium. RNAcentral's name for it is "partial 16S ribosomal RNA". It matches the Rfam family "Bacterial small subunit ribosomal RNA", at positions 29 to 507 of the family's 1533-position model. The record is from RNAcentral.
AACGAACGCUGGCGGCAUGCCUAACACAUGCAAGUCGAACGAGACCUUCGGGUCUAGUGGCGCACGGGGGCGUAACGCGGGGGAACCUGCCCUUAGGUUCGGAAUAACUCCCCGAAAGGGGUGCUAAUACCGGAUAAUGUCUUCGGACCAAAGAUUUAUCGCCUUUGGAUGGGCCCGCGUUGGAUUAGCUAGUUGGUAGGGUAAAAGCCUACCAAGGCGACGAUCCAUAGCUGGUCUGAGAGGAUGAUCAGCCACACUGGGACUGAGACACGGCCCAGACUCCUACGGGAGGCAGCAGUGGGGAAUAUUGGACAAUGGGCGGAAGCCUGAUCCAGCAAUGCCGCGUGAGUGAUGAAGGCCUUAGGGUUGUAAAGCUCUUUUACCCGGGAUGAUAAUGACAGUACCGGGAGAAUAAGCUCCGGCUAACUCCGUG